This 514-nucleotide ribosomal RNA is filed under the name uncultured bacterium. RNAcentral describes it as "partial 16S ribosomal RNA". It matches the Rfam family "Bacterial small subunit ribosomal RNA", at positions 28 to 523 of the family's 1533-position model. The record is from RNAcentral.
GAUGAACGCUGGCGGCGUGCCUAAUACAUGCAAGUCGAGCGAACAGAUGAGAAGCUUGCUUCUCUGAUGUUAGCGGCGGACGGGUGAGUAACACGUGGGUAACCUACCUAUAAGACUGGGAUAACUCCGGGAAACCGGGGCUAAUACAGGAUAAUAUUUUGAACCGCAUGGUUCAAUAGUGAAAGACGGUUUCGGCUGUCACUUAUAGAUGGAACCGCGCCGUAUUAGCUAGUUGGUGAGGUAACGGCUUACCAAGGCAACGAUACGUAGCCGACCUGAGAGGGUGAUCGGCCACACUGGAACUGAGACACGGUCCAGACUCCUACGGGAGGCAGCAGUAGGGAAUCUUCCGCAAUGGGCGAAAGCCUGACGGAGCAACGCCGCGUGAGUGAUGAAGGUCUUCGGAUCGUAAAACUCUGUUGUUAGGGAAGUACAAAUUUGUUAGUAACUGAACAAGUCUUGACGGUACCUAACCAGAAAGCCACGGCUAACUACGUGCCAGCAGCCGCCGUAA